This 1094-nucleotide long non-coding RNA is filed under the name Trifolium pratense (red clover). Its description in RNAcentral is "long non-coding RNA (TPRA_LNC004807)". Lineage: Eukaryota; Viridiplantae; Streptophyta; Magnoliopsida; Fabales; Fabaceae. The record is from RNAcentral.
AGAGUCUGAAUUUGUCUUUUAUGAUGAGAAUAAGAAUCUUGUUAAAGUGAAAGUCAAGGAUAGUCUUGAUGAAAGAAAGCUUGGUUACGGUUAUCAAAAGGUUGAUAUUCCUUGGAUAAAUUCUAAACCUAAACCUGCUAGUAGAAGAGUUCAGUCUAAGGAUAAGAAUAAGUUAUUAGAACAACGUCCUUCGAGAAAAUUUGUUGAUAAGUUUCCUAUUGUUUUGGAUUCGGUUGUGAGUACUAUUGUGAAGAGGCCAAAGAAGUCGAGGAGUUCGAAGGAGAAGGAAGAUGAAGAGGAAAUUUUGGUCAUAGCUGGGAUCGAGUUUGAUGACAAUAUUGAAGUGAAGUUUGAUGUUAUUGUGAAUGAUGAAGAUGAUAAGGUGAUUGGAGCUGAAAAUACCGAGUUUGCUGGAACCUUUGUGAGUUUGCUUCAUGCACAUAAUCACGAAAACAAUAAGAAGAAUAGGAAUAUUGUUACUUGUUUGAGACUUGGAUUAACGGAUUUGUUGGAGGGUUUGAAAGCUGAUGAUGAUGAUAGUAUUAUGGUUACAUUGAUUCCUAGAUAUGGUGAUGGUGUCAAAAUUAGUGGCAUCAAGAUAGAGUUUGAAUCUUGAAAAAAUUGCAACCAACGAAGAACCGUGUUUGUCAUUUAGUUCAUAGAGUUUCCUUUUUCUUAUUUUGUUUUCUUGUCAAAUAAAUGGUGCAAUUCCAUCCUCAAGUUGGUGAUUGGUGCAAAUGAGGAAAUAUUGUUUUUUAUGAGCAAAUGAGGAAAUAUUGUUAUAUAACGAUCGAUGAUCCUUCCUUCAAAAAACAAAAAAAACGAUCGAUGAUCCAUUUGUUAAAUUGGACCAAUACCCAAUAUUUUGUUAAACUGGACCAAUUGGAUGGUUAAUCCUCAAAACAAAAAUUAUAUCUGUAAUAUUGACACCCUAAACUUUCCAACGAGAGGUCGUUUACUCAAAACGGAUAUCGUUGGUAAUUUGAUUAAACUGUGAAAGUUAAGGUGUUGUUGUUGCUAUGUUUGUGCAGAAAUACUGUUUUUGUACGAAUACCCAAUCUUUUGUUAAACUGGACCAUUUGAAUGGUUAACCC